RNAcentral lists this ribosomal RNA (467 nucleotides) under uncultured bacterium. RNAcentral's name for it is "partial 16S ribosomal RNA". It matches the Rfam family "Bacterial small subunit ribosomal RNA", at positions 28 to 507 of the family's 1533-position model. The record is from RNAcentral.
GAUGAACGCUGGCGGCGUGCUUAACACAUGCAAGUCGAACGGAAAGGCCCAAGCUUGCUUGGGUACUCGAGUGGCGAACGGGUGAGUAACACGUGGGUGACCUGCCCUGCACUUCGGGAUAAGCCUGGGAAACUGGGUCUAAUACCGGAUAGGACCACUUCUUGCAUGUUGUGGUGGAAAGUUUUUCGGGUGUGGGAUGAGCUCGCGGCCUAUCAGCUUGUUGGUGGGGUAAUGGCCUACCAAGGCGUCGACGGGUAGCCGGCCUGGGAGGGUGUACGGGCCCAUUGGGGCUGGGGUACGGCCCAGGCUCCUACGGGAAGGAACAGGGGGGAAUAUUGCACAAUGGGGGCAAGGCUGAUGCAGCGACGCCGGGGGGCGGAUGACGGCCUUCGGGUUGGAAACCCCUUUCGCUAGGGACGAAGCGUUGUGUGACGGUACCUGGAGAAGAAGCACCGGCUAACUACGUG